This 440-nucleotide ribosomal RNA is filed under the name uncultured bacterium. Its description in RNAcentral is "partial 16S ribosomal RNA". It matches the Rfam family "Bacterial small subunit ribosomal RNA", at positions 338 to 795 of the family's 1533-position model. The record is from RNAcentral.
CCUACGGGUGGCAGCAGUGGGGAAUAUUGCACAAUGGGGGAAACCCUGAUGCAGCGACGCCGCGUGAGUGAAGAAGUAAUUUGUUAUGUAAAGCUCUAUUAGCCGGGAAGAAAAUGACGGUCCUUGAGUAAGAAGCCCCGACUAUCUAAGUGCCCGCAGCCGCGGUCAUACGGAGGGGGCACGCGUAUUCCGGAUUUACGGGUUGUAAGGGGAGCGUAGACGGCAGUGAAAGUCUGGAGGGAAAGGCGGGGGCGCAACCCGCGGAGUGCCCUGGAAACUGGACGGCUGGCGUGCAGGAGAGGUAAGUGGAAUGCGUGGUGUAGCGGUGAAAUGCGUAGAUAGUAGGAGGAACACCAGUGGCGAAGGCGGCUUACUGAACUGUAACUGACGUUGAUGCACGAAAGCGUGGGGAGCAAACAGGAUUAGAUACCCGAGUAGUC